This 423-nucleotide ribosomal RNA is filed under the name uncultured bacterium. RNAcentral's name for it is "partial 16S ribosomal RNA". It matches the Rfam family "Bacterial small subunit ribosomal RNA", at positions 360 to 775 of the family's 1533-position model. The record is from RNAcentral.
AAUAUGGGAUGAUGGGGGCAACCCUGAUCCAGCCAUGCCGCGUGUGUGAAGAAGGNCUNNGGAUUNUNAAGCACUGUAAUUUGNNNNNAAGGGCUUUAGGUUAAUACCCUGAAGUUUUGACGUUACCAACAGAAUCAGCACCGGCUACCUCUGUGCCAGCAGCCUCUGUAAUACAGAGGGUGCAAGCGUUAAUCGGAAUUACUGGGCGUAAAGAGCGCGUAGGUGGUUCAGUAAGAUGGGUGUGAAAUCACCGGGCUUAACCUGGGAACUGCUUUCAUAACUGCUGAGCUAGAGUACGGUAGAGGGUAGUGGAAUUUCCUGUGUAGCGGUGAAAUGAGUAGAUAUAGGAAGGAACACCAGUGGCGAAGGCGACUACCUGGACUGAUACUGACACUGAGGUGCGAAAGCAUGGGGAGCAAACAG